Long non-coding RNA from Oryza brachyantha (malo sina), 1376 nucleotides. RefSeq lists it as uncharacterized. The record is from RefSeq and is a predicted model, not a curated record. The transcript has 6 exons. Lineage: Eukaryota; Viridiplantae; Streptophyta; Magnoliopsida; Poales; Poaceae.
GCCUCUGCUCGUCGGUGACGUCACAUCGCCGCAGUGCCCGCCCAUGGAGGGGAAGCCGCCGCGAGCGAGGGAGGCGGCGCGAGGUCUAGGGUUUGAGCAGGGCCGUCGCUGCUGCUCGUGCGGCGGUUCCUUGCAUUCAUCCUCCUCGACAUCCCCUCUAACUCCAUACAGUACAAAGUGCGCCGUGGUUGGAGGGGGCGCAGAGGACUCUCUCCUCUAGGUCGCAACGGCCGGCGGCGGCGAAGGGAUGGCAGGAGGGCCCAUGCUAUGUUAACAAAGGGAGAAGAGAGAAUGGGUUAGUUAUGAGGCCAUGUGUAAAGGGAGAGCACAACCACACAAGUGGGGAACAACAGUUGGAUGAGGUGUAUAGUGGGCCACUUGCAGAGAGAUUUGGAUGCUUUCUAUACAGGUCAAUGGUAGAUAUCCAUGUCCAUGCCUGUUAAUCUCCAAUAAAACAUGGGAGUAUGCAGAUGUGGUAUCAAAUGAAAUACCGAGGCUGUAUUGUGUCGAUGAGCACCCAAAUGGACCACAAAUGUUUGGAAGUGAAUGGUCGCCAUGGCUUAUCUACAGUAUGGGCACAUUGCAAUCAGGCAUAUUUCUCAGCCUGUGUUUCUUGACUGAAUGACUGGGCUGCUCUAUAAAGUAAUCGCCGUAAUUCUGGUCUUUCAUGGUGAGUGUAGUAAAAGGCCAGUAACAAUCUGAAGCCUGAAACAUAUCAAAAGAGACCAGCUCAUGCAUGCAUAAUGGUGUCGUUGUCGGGCGGCAUAUUAAUCCACUAGUAGUCAGGUUCGUACAAUUUUACACGCUGCCGAAUCAAGACGAGGGCUUCCCCCUCGUUCCUCUUAUCAUUUGGGCUGUGACCCCAUCAUUUUGGCAUCACCUUUUCUCGCGCCUGUGGUGGAUGGAUGGAGGGAUGGCUUUUUUCCCCUUUACCAGUUUGUCUCCUUAGGGUUGCCACUCCUGGCUCAAAACUCCAAGCAUCCGCCUCUCGAUCUGCACCAUUCGUCCUGCGGAUACAUGCAUGCACGUCAUCGCUACCUCCUGCAGUCAGGUGACUCUCGCAUAUGCAUGCAAUUUCUAGCUCGUUGUUUCUGGAUUUUAACCUAUAGUUCUGUCUGGUUUAAUUUGGUGUGUGAAGUUUUCUAUAGAUUAGUUGUAAAAUGCACUGUAAAAUUCAGAGUUGGUUUCAUGGGUAUUUCUCGAAAUCUUAAUGUAUGGCACCGGUUCUACUCAUGUCGGGGAAUUCCUAUAGCUAUCAGAGGGGCUGAAGUGGGUAAAAAAACUUUGCUUGAAUCGUGGACGUGCAAUAGAAUUAUUUUUUCAUGUACCUGAAGUACCGUGAGGUAGAUGCAUAUUUUUGUGUUUAAUUAUGAGGU